CAUGGCUCUCCUGGAGGUGAACCUGGUCUCUGGGUAUAUAGCGGUGGAUAAAUCAGUGAAUAAUCUUUUAUCGAAUGAAGUGGUUAAAAGGACAGAGAUCAGUAAAAGUUCAAUCAUUAUCUACCUUCAGGAGCUGAGCUCGUCUCCGGUCAACCUAUCAUUCCAGCUGGAGCAGGAGUGUCCAGUGAUUAACAUCCAGCCGGC
This is a long non-coding RNA of Pelobates fuscus (common spadefoot toad), 204 nucleotides long. RefSeq lists it as uncharacterized. The record is from RefSeq and is a predicted model, not a curated record. NCBI's taxonomy places the organism in Eukaryota, Metazoa, Chordata, Amphibia, Anura, Pelobatidae. The transcript has 3 exons.